GAAGCUACACUUCAUAAUGAAAUCUCAAUGUGAAUUCCAUAACAGAACCCAGACAACAUAAACAGUAACAAAGGAGCAAAGACUAACAAUAUUGACAUAAUCUCAGUUAAAACAGUUCAAACUCUUUGAUUUCUACGGUAUUUUGAAGCUAUACAACCUAUUGAUAACAUAAUGUAGUCAGAAAUACACUAUUAAGGUGGCAAGAGGACCAUAAACAAAUCUGAUGUACUACUCCCUUCAAAUGACUUGUUAUUUCAGUAGUACGGUCUGUACCUCACAGAACUGCUGAAAAUUCAUCUACUUGGACACUUGUUCACCCUGCCAAACAAACAAGCAAAAGAACAAGUCCAAGUUGAGAUAGAAAAGAUAAAUGAACACGAAAGAUACAAGAUUGGUUCGAAUCAAGUAGCACAUUCUUCAGAUUAUAUGUACCACUAUCUUAUAGCUCAGAUUAUAGACAAGUAAACACCAUCCCAAUCAGGCAACCAACAACCAAUCGAACAACUCAACUAUAUAUUAAUUGCUAGUGUGCACUGUAGUCGGCAGUAGAAUGCCCCAGAAUUCGAAGUAGAUGAGACUCACCUCUCUGACGAACCAACACAGCAGCUCGCACUCGGUGAUCCAUUACCCUGCCUACACCAAGGACACCUCCACCGGCUCAGUGAAGGGCUCCCUUGCCACCGGAAAGCAACAGUGCUGGAGACAAAAUCCAAGCGAUGAUAGAGAUGUGAAAAUGGGUGGCAUGUUGAGAUCGAACCAGUAUGGUAAGUGACUAUUUCAUCAGAGACAGAUGGAAAUCGUACCACCCACAACAACUUGUCACCUAACAAUGCAUAUCCAUGGACAAUUUCUGUGGGAAAAUCAAAAUAACACACACCAAAGUACCAAAGUACAAAGUGAUUAAGUGAGAAUCCUAAAUAUUCCAAUGAGAAAGAACAUAAAGGGGACCAGUACCUGAAAUAUUGUGCAAUCAUAUCCAGAGCAGGUGAAGAAACACACAACAUACUAAUGAAUCCAAACCCUUAAAACCAUAUAGAUUUUUCUUUGUGCUAAUAUUCUGCAUCUGCAAGUCCUUCACUACCAAUGGUAAUAAUUACACUUGUCAGCAUAAUAUAUAAGACAAAGAUACUAUUGUUCUCUUAAGAGAUAUAGAUAACCGAAAUAUAUGUAUAUAGGUAACAUACUUUGACGUACAAUAAAUAAGAAAAAGAUAGUAUUGUUCUCUUAAGACAAACCAUUUGAUCCCAUUGCUUCCAAGUCGCAAAUCUUUACUCGUUCUGUAGUUUUCUUGUUAGCAUUUAUGUCGUGAACAAAGCUUCUUUAUCCAACUACCAAAUCUGAAUGUUG
RNAcentral lists this long non-coding RNA (1347 nucleotides) under Triticum aestivum (bread wheat). RNAcentral's name for it is "long non-coding RNA (TAES_LNC021659)". The record is from RNAcentral. Lineage: Eukaryota; Viridiplantae; Streptophyta; Magnoliopsida; Poales; Poaceae.